GAGUCUGAAAUCCUCUAUACACAGAACAUGUACAGCAUGGGCACUGGCAGUGCAUAUUUCUCUAAUCUGUCCAUCUGUAUCCCUCAAUCCAGUCUUGAGGGGACCCUUUAGAUUGAAGGAGGUCAUAGAAUC
Gopherus agassizii (Agassiz's desert tortoise) is the source of this 132-nucleotide unclassified non-coding RNA. The record is from Ensembl. Lineage: Eukaryota; Metazoa; Chordata; Testudines; Testudinidae.